CCUACGGGAGGCAGCAGUGGGGAAUAUUGCGCAAUGGGCGAAAGCCUGAUGCAGCGACGCCGCGUGAGGGAUGAAGGUCUUCGGAUCGUAAACCUCUGUCAGCAGGGAAGAACGGUCGCUGUGCUAAUCAGCAGUGAAUUGACGGUACCUGCACAUGAAGCACCGGCUAACUCCGUGCCAGCAGCCGCGGUAAUACGGAGGGUGCGAGCGUUAAUCGGAAUUACUGGGCGUAAAGCGCUCGUAGGCGGUAUGUCAAGUCAAGGGUGAAAUCCCCGCGCUCAACGUGGGAACUGCCUUUGAAACUGGCAAACUGGAGUGUGUGAGAGGAGAGUGGAAUUCCAGGUGUAGGGGUGAAAUCCGUAGAUAUCUGGAGGAACAUCAGUGGCGAAGGCGACUAUCUGGCACAUAACUGACGCUGAGGAGCGAAAGCGUGGGUAGCAAACAGGAUUAGAUACCCCUGUAGUC
Molecule: ribosomal RNA, 465 nt
Filed under: uncultured bacterium
Lineage: Bacteria
Description: partial 16S ribosomal RNA
Rfam family: Bacterial small subunit ribosomal RNA
Source: RNAcentral